Molecule: ribosomal RNA, 691 nt
Filed under: uncultured bacterium
Lineage: Bacteria
Description: bacterial SSU rRNA
Rfam family: Bacterial small subunit ribosomal RNA
Source: RNAcentral
UGCAAGUCGAGCGGCAGCAUGCUUCUCACUAAGGUUCGAAGCAGUUAAUAAGUUAGCAAGUCUAAAGUUAGCAAGUAGAAAUACUUGUUAACUUACCAACUUGUCCACUUUCUAACUAGCACUUCGUGCUUUCGUGAGAAGUGAUGGCGAGCGGCGGACGACAGAGUAACGCGUAGGAAUAUGCCCCAAAGUGAGGAAUAACUGCCCGAAAGGGUGGCUAAUGCCGCAUGUGAUCUUCGGAUUAAAGCUUUAUGCGCUUUGGGAGUUGCCUGCGUUGGAUUAGCUUGUUGGUGAGGUAAUGGCUCACCAAGGCGACGAUCCAUAACUGGUCUGAGAGGAUGAUCAGUCUGGCUGGAACUGAGACACGGUCCAGACUCCUACGGGAGGCAGCAGUAGGGAAUUUUCCACAAUGGGCGAAAGCCUGAUGGAGCAACGCCGCGUGCAGGAUGAAGGCCCUCGGGUCGUAAACUGCUUUUAUGUGAGAAGAAUAUGACGGUAACACAUGAAUAAGGGUCGGCUAACUACGUGCCAGCAGCCGCGGUCAUACGUAGGACCCAAGCGUUAUCCGGAAUUACUGGGCGUAAAGAGUUGCGUAGGUGGCAUUGUAAGUGGAGCGUGAAAGCGUGCGGCUCAACCGCAUUACUGCGUUCCAAACUGCAAAGCUUGAGUACGAGAGAGGUAGAUGGAAUUU